RNAcentral lists this ribosomal RNA (2912 nucleotides) under Pseudomonas aeruginosa. RNAcentral's name for it is "bacterial LSU rRNA". It matches the Rfam family "Bacterial large subunit ribosomal RNA". Lineage: Bacteria; Pseudomonadati; Pseudomonadota; Gammaproteobacteria; Pseudomonadales; Pseudomonadaceae. The record is from RNAcentral.
GUUAUAUGGUCAAGUGAAGAAGCGCAUACGGUGGAUGCCUUGGCAGUCAGAGGCGAUGAAAGACGUGGUAGCCUGCGAAAAGCUUCGGGGAGUCGGCAAACAGACUUUGAUCCGGAGAUCUCUGAAUGGGGGAACCCACCUAGGAUAACCUAGGUAUCUUGUACUGAAUCCAUAGGUGCAAGAGGCGAACCAGGGGAACUGAAACAUCUAAGUACCCUGAGGAAAAGAAAUCAACCGAGAUUCCCUUAGUAGUGGCGAGCGAACGGGGAUUAGCCCUUAAACUUCAUUGAUUUUAGCGGAACGCUCUGGAAAGUGCGGCCAUAGUGGGUGAUAGCCCCGUACGCGAAAGGAUCUUUGAAGUGAAAUCGAGUAGGACGGAGCACGAGAAACUUUGUCUGAACAUGGGGGGACCAUCCUCCAAGGCUAAAUACUACUGACUGACCGAUAGUGAACCAGUACCGUGAGGGAAAGGCGAAAAGAACCCCGGAGAGGGGAGUGAAAUAGAACCUGAAACCGUAUGCGUACAAGCAGUGGGAGCCUACUUGUUAGGUGACUGCGUACCUUUUGUAUAAUGGGUCAGCGACUUAUAUUCAGUGGCAAGCUUAACCGUAUAGGGUAGGCGUAGCGAAAGCGAGUCUUAAUAGGGCGUUUAGUCGCUGGGUAUAGACCCGAAACCGGGCGAUCUAUCCAUGAGCAGGUUGAAGGUUAGGUAACACUGACUGGAGGACCGAACCCACUCCCGUUGAAAAGGUAGGGGAUGACUUGUGGAUCGGAGUGAAAGGCUAAUCAAGCUCGGAGAUAGCUGGUUCUCCUCGAAAGCUAUUUAGGUAGCGCCUCAUGUAUCACUCUGGGGGGUAGAGCACUGUUUCGGCUAGGGGGUCAUCCCGACUUACCAAACCGAUGCAAACUCCGAAUACCCAGAAGUGCCGAGCAUGGGAGACACACGGCGGGUGCUAACGUCCGUCGUGAAAAGGGAAACAACCCAGACCGCCAGCUAAGGUCCCAAAGUUGUGGUUAAGUGGUAAACGAUGUGGGAAGGCUUAGACAGCUAGGAGGUUGGCUUAGAAGCAGCCAUCCUUUAAAGAAAGCGUAAUAGCUCACUAGUCGAGUCGGCCUGCGCGGAAGAUGUAACGGGGCUCAAACCACACACCGAAGCUGCGGGUGUCACGUAAGUGACGCGGUAGAGGAGCGUUCUGUAAGCCUGUGAAGGUGAGUUGAGAAGCUUGCUGGAGGUAUCAGAAGUGCGAAUGCUGACAUGAGUAACGACAAUGGGUGUGAAAAACACCCACGCCGAAAGACCAAGGGUUCCUGCGCAACGUUAAUCGACGCAGGGUUAGUCGGUUCCUAAGGCGAGGCUGAAAAGCGUAGUCGAUGGGAAACAGGUUAAUAUUCCUGUACUUCUGGUUACUGCGAUGGAGGGACGGAGAAGGCUAGGCCAGCUUGGCGUUGGUUGUCCAAGUUUAAGGUGGUAGGCUGAAAUCUUAGGUAAAUCCGGGGUUUCAAGGCCGAGAGCUGAUGACGAGUCGUCUUUUAGAUGACGAAGUGGUUGAUGCCAUGCUUCCAAGAAAAGCUUCUAAGCUUCAGGUAACCAGGAACCGUACCCCAAACCGACACAGGUGGUCGGGUAGAGAAUACCAAGGCGCUUGAGAGAACUCGGGUGAAGGAACUAGGCAAAAUGGCACCGUAACUUCGGGAGAAGGUGCGCCGGCUAGGGUGAAGGAUUUACUCCGUAAGCUCUGGCUGGUCGAAGAUACCAGGCCGCUGCGACUGUUUAUUAAAAACACAGCACUCUGCAAACACGAAAGUGGACGUAUAGGGUGUGACGCCUGCCCGGUGCCGGAAGGUUAAUUGAUGGGGUUAGCGCAAGCGAAGCUCUUGAUCGAAGCCCCGGUAAACGGCGGCCGUAACUAUAACGGUCCUAAGGUAGCGAAAUUCCUUGUCGGGUAAGUUCCGACCUGCACGAAUGGCGUAACGAUGGCGGCGCUGUCUCCACCCGAGACUCAGUGAAAUUGAAAUCGCUGUGAAGAUGCAGUGUAUCCGCGGCUAGACGGAAAGACCCCGUGAACCUUUACUGUAGCUUUGCACUGGACUUUGAGCCUGCUUGUGUAGGAUAGGUGGGAGGCUUUGAAGCGUGGACGCCAGUUCGCGUGGAGCCAUCCUUGAAAUACCACCCUGGCAUGCUUGAGGUUCUAACUCUGGUCCGUGAUCCGGAUCGAGGACAGUGUAUGGUGGGCAGUUUGACUGGGGCGGUCUCCUCCUAAAGAGUAACGGAGGAGUACGAAGGUGCGCUCAGACCGGUCGGAAAUCGGUCGCAGAGUAUAAAGGCAAAAGCGCGCUUGACUGCGAGACAGACACGUCGAGCAGGUACGAAAGUAGGUCUUAGUGAUCCGGUGGUUCUGUAUGGAAGGGCCAUCGCUCAACGGAUAAAAGGUACUCCGGGGAUAACAGGCUGAUACCGCCCAAGAGUUCAUAUCGACGGCGGUGUUUGGCACCUCGAUGUCGGCUCAUCACAUCCUGGGGCUGAAGCCGGUCCCAAGGGUAUGGCUGUUCGCCAUUUAAAGUGGUACGCGAGCUGGGUUUAGAACGUCGUGAGACAGUUCGGUCCCUAUCUGCCGUGGACGUUUGAGAUUUGAGAGGGGCUGCUCCUAGUACGAGAGGACCGGAGUGGACGAACCUCUGGUGUUCCGGUUGUCACGCCAGUGGCAUUGCCGGGUAGCUAUGUUCGGAAAAGAUAACCGCUGAAAGCAUCUAAGCGGGAAACUUGCCUCAAGAUGAGAUCUCACUGGGAACUUGAUUCCCCUGAAGGGCCGUCGAAGACUACGACGUUGAUAGGCUGGGUGUGUAAGCGUUGUGAGGCGUUGAGCUAACCAGUACUAAUUGCCCGUGAGGCUUGACCAUAUAACACCCAAACA